Molecule: non-coding RNA, 105 nt
Organism: Acanthosepion pharaonis
Lineage: Eukaryota; Metazoa; Mollusca; Cephalopoda; Sepiida; Sepiidae
Source: the annotation of a GenBank genome assembly
UAUCAUAUUGAAAUACAAGUUCCCGUAAGAUGACCAAAGUUAAGCAACACCGAUCCAGGUCAGUGCCUAGAUGGGUGACCGCUUGGGAAUACCAGGUGUUGUAAG